RNAcentral lists this small RNA (383 nucleotides) under Histoplasma ohiense. RNAcentral's name for it is "hypothetical lncRNA". Lineage: Eukaryota; Fungi; Ascomycota; Eurotiomycetes; Onygenales; Ajellomycetaceae. The record is from RNAcentral.
UCCCUGCAUUUUGAUCAUGCAUGACACUUGGUCUUUCUCUCUUGUUUUUGUUUGCUGUUGGUAUCCUGUGACACAGACGCCACCAUCUCUUCGUCGAUGUUCAGCUCCCCACCAAACAUCAUGAAGACAGUGUUGGUCCCAUCUUCGAUGGCUGUGUCAAAGCACUGUGCAGAAGCAAUCAGUUUCAGGUCCUUGUCAUAGAAGGUCAUCUGUCAGUUCUGAGCAUUCUUCUUAGCCAUUCACUCCACCAUGGACAGGUCGGAGGGCUCGGACGGGUUAAUGGUCAUCUUAUAAGUGUCGACCCACUUCCCUUGCUCGCGAGCCUUGAAAAUGAUCGUGACCGUCCUAGUGCUGGUUGACACAUCCUCGAGCCUGGAUGCCCC